UACGUAGGGGGCAAGCGUUGUCCGGAAUCAUUGGGCGUAAAGCGCGUGUAGGCGGUCCGGUAAGUCCGCUGUGAAAGUCGGGGGCUCAACCCUCGGAUGCCGGUGGAUACUGUCGGGCUUGAGUACGGAAGAGGCGAGUGGAAUUCCUGGUGUAGCGGUGGAAUGCGCAGAUAUCAGGAGGAACACCGGUGGCGAAGGCGGGUCUCUGGGCCGAUACUGACGCUGAGGAGCGAAAGCAUGGGUAGCGAACAGG
This 253-nucleotide ribosomal RNA is filed under the name uncultured bacterium. Its description in RNAcentral is "partial 16S ribosomal RNA". It matches the Rfam family "Bacterial small subunit ribosomal RNA", at positions 524 to 776 of the family's 1533-position model. The record is from RNAcentral.